This 1723-nucleotide ribosomal RNA is filed under the name Shigella sonnei. RNAcentral's name for it is "partial 23S ribosomal RNA". It matches the Rfam family "Bacterial large subunit ribosomal RNA", at positions 456 to 2164 of the family's 2925-position model. Lineage: Bacteria; Pseudomonadati; Pseudomonadota; Gammaproteobacteria; Enterobacterales; Enterobacteriaceae. The record is from RNAcentral.
UCCUCCAAGGCUAAAUACUCCUGACUGACCGAUAGUGAACCAGUACCGUGAGGGAAAGGCGAAAAGAACCCCGGCGAGGGGAGUGAAAAAGAACCUGAAACCGUGUACGUACAAGCAGUGGGAGCACGCUUAGGCGUGUGACUGCGUACCUUUUGUAUAAUGGGUCAGCGACUUAUAUUCUGUAGCAAGGUUAACCGAAUAGGGGAGCCGAAGGGAAACCGAGUCUUAACUGGGCGUUAAGUUGCAGGGUAUAGACCCGAAACCCGGUGAUCUAGCCAUGGGCAGGUUGAAGGUUGGGUAACACUAACUGGAGGACCGAACCGACUAAUGUUGAAAAAUUAGCGGAUGACUUGUGGCUGGGGGUGAAAGGCCAAUCAAACCGGGAGAUAGCUGGUUCUCCCCGAAAGCUAUUUAGGUAGCGCCUCGUGAAUUCAUCUCCGGGGGUAGAGCACUGUUUCGGCAAGGGGGUCAUCCCGACUUACCAACCCGAUGCAAACUGCGAAUACCGGAGAAUGUUAUCACGGGAGACACACGGCGGGUGCUAACGUCCGUCGUGAAGAGGGAAACAACCCAGACCGCCAGCUAAGGUCCCAAAGUCAUGGUUAAGUGGGAAACGAUGUGGGAAGGCCCAGACAGCCAGGAUGUUGGCUUAGAAGCAGCCAUCAUUUAAAGAAAGCGUAAUAGCUCACUGGUCGAGUCGGCCUGCGCGGAAGAUGUAACGGGGCUAAACCAUGCACCGAAGCUGCGGCAGCGACGCUUAUGCGUUGUUGGGUAGGGGAGCGUUCUGUAAGCCUGCGAAGGUGUGCUGUGAGGCAUGCUGGAGGUAUCAGAAGUGCGAAUGCUGACAUAAGUAACGAUAAAGCGGGUGAAAAGCCCGCUCGCCGGAAGACCAAGGGUUCCUGUCCAACGUUAAUCGGGGCAGGGUGAGUCGACCCCUAAGGCGAGGCCGAAAGGCGUAGUCGAUGGGAAACAGGUUAAUAUUCCUGUACUUGGUGUUACUGCGAAGGGGGGACGGAGAAGGCUAUGUUGGCCGGGCGACGGUUGUCCCGGUUUAAGCGUGUAGGCUGGUUUUCCAGGCAAAUCCGGAAAAUCAAGGCUGAGGCGUGAUGACGAGGCACUACGGUGCUGAAGCAACAAAUGCCCUGCUUCCAGGAAAAGCCUCUAAGCAUCAGGUAACAUCAAAUCGUACCCCAAACCGACACAGGUGGUCAGGUAGAGAAUACCAAGGCGCUUGAGAGAACUCGGGUGAAGGAACUAGGCAAAAUGGUGCCGUAACUUCGGGAGAAGGCACGCUGAUAUGUAGGUGAAGUCCCUUGCGGAUGGAGCUGAAAUCAGUCGAAGAUACCAGCUGGCUGCAACUGUUUAUUAAAAACACAGCACUGUGCAAACACGAAAGUGGACGUAUACGGUGUGACGCCUGCCCGGUGCCGGAAGGUUAAUUGAUGGGGUCAGCGCAAGCGAAGCUCUUGAUCGAAGCCCCGGUAAACGGCGGCCGUAACUAUAACGGUCCUAAGGUAGCGAAAUUCCUUGUCGGGUAAGUUCCGACCUGCACGAAUGGCGUAAUGAUGGCCAGGCUGUCUCCACCCGAGACUCAGUGAAAUUGAACUCGCUGUGAAGAUGCAGUGUACCCGCGGCAAGACGGAAAGACCCCGUGAACCUUUACUAUAGCUUGACACUGAACAUUGAGCCUUGAUGUGUAGGAUAGGUGGGAGGCUUUGAAGUG